AGCGUAGGCGGGAGCCUAAGUUGGGUGUUUAAUUCCGGGGCCCAACCCCGGGCAUGCACUCAAAACUGGGUUUCUUGAAUAGGGGAGAGGUCGGUGGAAUUGGAGGUGUAGCGGUGGAAUGCGUAGAGAUCUCCAAGAACACCCGUUGCGAAGGCGGCCGACUGGACCCAUAUUGACGCUGAGGCUCGAAAGCAUGGGGAGCAAACA
This 207-nucleotide ribosomal RNA is filed under the name uncultured bacterium. Its description in RNAcentral is "partial 16S ribosomal RNA". It matches the Rfam family "Bacterial small subunit ribosomal RNA", at positions 568 to 774 of the family's 1533-position model. The record is from RNAcentral.